This 313-nucleotide ribosomal RNA is filed under the name uncultured eukaryote. RNAcentral's name for it is "partial 18S ribosomal RNA". It matches the Rfam family "Eukaryotic small subunit ribosomal RNA", at positions 1470 to 1796 of the family's 1831-position model. The record is from RNAcentral.
CCCUUAGAUGUUCUGGGCCGCACGCGCGCUACACAGAUGUAUUCAACGAGUCUAUAGCCUUGGCCGACAGGCCCGGGUAAUCUUCGAAAAUUUCAUCGUGAUGGGGAUAGAUCAUUGCAAUUGUUGGUCUUCAACGAGGAAUUCCUAGUAAGCGCGAGUCAUCAGCUCGCAUUGAUUACGUCCCUGCCCUUUGUACACACCGCCCGUCGCUCCUACCGAUUGGGUGAGCCGAUGAAACUCUCGGAUGUAGGCUAUUCAUAGCCCGCAGAAGAGAUUUGAAUCGUAGCGCUUAGAGGAAGGAGAAGUCGUAACA